GACGAACGCUGGCGGCGUGCUUAACACAUGCAAGUCGAGCGAGGCCCGCUCUUCGGGGUGGUGCCCUAGCGGCGAACGGGUGAGUAACACGUGGGCAACCUGCCCUCAGCUCUGGGAUAACUCCAAGAAAUUGGUGCUAAUACCGGAUGUGACCGCUGACCGCAUGGUCUGGUGGUGGAAAGAUUCAUCGGCUGAGGAUGGGCCCGCGGCCUAUCAGCUUGUUGGUGGGGUGAUGGCCUACCAAGGCGACGACGGGUAGCCGGCCUGAGAGGGUGACCGGCCACACUGGGACUGAGACACGGCCCAGACUCCUACGGGAGGCAGCAGUGGGGAAUAUUGCGCAAUGGGCGGAAGCCUGACGCAGCGACGCCGCGUGAGGGAUGAC
This 385-nucleotide ribosomal RNA is filed under the name uncultured bacterium. RNAcentral's name for it is "bacterial SSU rRNA". It matches the Rfam family "Bacterial small subunit ribosomal RNA", at positions 28 to 412 of the family's 1533-position model. The record is from RNAcentral.